GACGAACGCUGGCGGCGUGCUUAACACAUGCAAGUCGAACGGUGAAGCGCCUUCCUUUUUGGUGGGUGUGGAUGAGUGGCGAACGGGUGAGUAACACGUGAGUAACCUGCCCCCUUCUUCUGGAUAACCGCAUGAAAGUGUGGCUAAUACGGGAUAUUCUGGUUCUGUCGCAUGAUGGGUCUGGGAAAGAUAUUGUUUCGGUGGGGGAUGGGCUCGCGGCCUAUCAGCUUGUUGGUGGGGUGAUGGCCUACCAAGGCGGUGACGGGUAGCCGGCCUGAGAGGGUGGACGGUCACACUGGGACUGAGACACGGCCCAGACUCCUACGGGAGGCAGCAGUGGGGAAUAGUGCACAAUGGGCGCAAGCCUGAUGCAGCGACGCCGCGUGAGGGAUGGAGGCCUUCGGGUUGUGAACCUCUUUCGCCAGUGAAGCAGGCCUGCCUCGUUUGUGGGUGGGUUGACGGUAGCUGGAUAAGAAGCGCCGGCUAACUACGUG
Molecule: ribosomal RNA, 494 nt
Filed under: uncultured bacterium
Lineage: Bacteria
Description: partial 16S ribosomal RNA
Rfam family: Bacterial small subunit ribosomal RNA
Source: RNAcentral